AGAGCAAGGAAUAGAAUAAAUACCUCAUUGUGUGUCCACAGUAAUACAAAAUUAAGGUACCACUCUUUAAUUAUGCUACCGAGUUGAAUGACUUCUUACUUAGAGUGCUCAUUGCAGAAUAUAACGGAGUCAUUGUUUAUAAAUUACAAUGAAAUAUAAAUGUGGUUAUAAUGAAUUUGUUAAUUAAAUUAUUUUAAUUUAUCUUUUCACAUAAAUGUAACUCUUGAAAUUCUGGGCAUAUUUAUGUCCCCAAAUAACUGAAUGAAGUUUCUCAACACAGGAAUCUAAUGAAAACUAAGAAGUUUGGAAGAUAAUUGUAUUAAGGUAUGUAAAUUCUCAUAAUUUUUGAAACUGAACACUGCCAGCCAAGUAUCUUUUUUUACCCCCCAAAUCCCUGAGAUUCUUAUUAAAAAUACAGAUUUCUGAACCUCACCUUGGACCACCAAAUCAGAAGUCUUAGAGCAAAGCCCAGGGAUCUACAUUUUAAAACUCCAUUACCACCUUCCCUUUCGCCACCAGGUGAUUUAGGAACUGAGUCCUAUGAAGUUUGGAAAAACAAAACCCUGCACAUUUUAUUCUUCAUCAUCAUGGUUGCACAAGCAAGAUGCAUGGCAUCUGAUUUAUAAGAGCAUAUCCAAGUUGGGAUUUUUUUCCUCACAUAUCAAGAAGUCUGCAUAUAGGUGACUACUGGCUUUGCUUCAACAAUGCUCCAAUGCCAGGACCAGGGUUUCUGCAGAUCCUCUUGACGUCCUCCUCAUAAUUGUUACCUUACACCAGGAAAUACUACUGCUCAGCUCACAUUGAAAGCCCCUGAUAUCACUCAGAGGGUGCAGCCUUGGGCAUGGACAGUUUCCAGGGAUUACAGUAGUAUUAGCAUGAUUUUUUUUUUUUUUUGGUUACUUUCUCUGAUCUUUCUAUUUAGCUGUCUACUUCUGAUGGUAUCACCUAUAGCUGUUAGGCUGCACUAAUAGCUGACUAAUUGCUGUAUUUUCAACAAUGCCCUAGGGCACACAUUUCUCUGAGGUCUGAUAGCAUUUACAGGCACAUUUUUUUAGUUUUGCUCUGACCCCUUGGAGGCAUUUAAAAAUCUGUCUCUUUCUUUAGUUCUUUCUGGUAAAAUAGCUGGCCUUCAGUUUAGCUUGCUGUUCUCAUGGAGCUACCAGCUUCCUUUUAAUAACUUUCUACAAAAUUCUUCAUUGUUUUUUAACAGUAACCUUAGACUUGAAGAGCCCUACACUCAAUUUUAAAUGAAGUCAGUUUCCUUGAUAAAAGCUACAGAGCUCUGUUCUUGUGACCAGAGCAAAAUCUCUGAGCUGCUGCUCUUGAGCUGGGGGUGGGAUGGUGGUCCCCUUCUUUUUUUUUUUAAUUUAUGAAGAACAGAAAUUUAUUUCUCAUAGUUCCAGAGGCUGGAAAGUCCAAGAUCAAGGGGCUGGCAAGUGUGGUGUCUGAUAAGGGCCCAGUUUCUUCCUAGAUGGUGACUUGUUGCUUUGUCCCCUGGAGGAGAUAAAUGCUAUGUCCUCACAAGACAGAAAGGAGAGAAAGGGCUAAGCCAACCCCUCCAGUACUUUCGCCACUGCACUUCAGCCUGUGCAACAAGAGCAAAACUCCAUCUAAAAAAAAAAUUAAAAAUUAAAAAAAAUAAAAUAAAAGGACUGGUGGUCCACUUCUUUCAGAGUGACACUGCUGAUUGAUGAGGAGUAGCUGGGUGAAGGCAGCAGACACAGGUCAUUCCAGCUUGUCUCUCACAGCUUGGAACCUCUGUGUUAUGAGGAUCCCAGGAUGAAGAUGAUUAGGACCCAGUAUUCUUGGGAGCCCUGACUAGAAUAGAGGCUCUGCCCUAUGAGUGGGGCCAGAUGGAGGAAGAAAGCCCUAACACUUGGGUUCACUCACCUGCCUAAAUUUAGCCUUUACGAAAUGGAGCUGGGGGACAGUAAGAAAUCCUGGCAGCCUGAUCCUCCUGGGGAAGAUAACAUUGUCCUAGACUUGGUCCUGUGGCCACACCCAUCCCAUCUGGACUGGAGUAUUUUGUUGCAAGUUGGCUAGGGAGGGAGGGGGCAGGCAGGUCCUGGUCAAGUGUCAGAGACUGUGCUCUAAACAAAGUGGAGUAAAUUUUCUUGGAAAAAAAAAAGUUUCUGUAUUUUCUGUAUGCCCUUAGCACAAUUUGCAAAGACUUUAAUUUUUUAAAAAUUAAUAUUUUCAUCAGUUAUUGUUGUCUUGCUAGGCUGUAGGUCUGUGGAACUUCUCACAUUGCCUUUCUAGAAGCUAUGUCUUUCCUUGAUUUUUAACAUUGUUGACUCCAUUAGAGACUCAACACAUCUAUGUGUGAUAUUAGUUGCAAGUAUUUUUUUGCCAGUUUGUCA
This 2360-nucleotide long non-coding RNA is filed under the name Homo sapiens (human). RNAcentral's name for it is "HSALNT0347290". Lineage: Eukaryota; Metazoa; Chordata; Mammalia; Primates; Hominidae. The record is from RNAcentral.